GUGCCUAACACAUGCAAGUCGAACGAGAAAGCGGGGGCAACUCCGUGAGUAAAGUGGCGACCGGGUGAGUAACACGUGACUAACCUGCCCUUGAGUGGGGGAUAACCUCGGGAAACCGGGGCUAAUACCGCAUAAUUUCACGAGGUGAAAUUCCUUGUGAUCAAAGGAGCAAUUCGCUGAAGGAGGGGGUCGCGGCUGAUUAGCUAGUUGGUGAGGUAACGGCCCACCAAGGCGAUGAUCAGUAGCCGGCCUGAGAGGGCGCACGGCCACACUGGAACUGAAACACGGUCCAG
This 293-nucleotide ribosomal RNA is filed under the name uncultured bacterium. Its description in RNAcentral is "partial 16S ribosomal RNA". It matches the Rfam family "Bacterial small subunit ribosomal RNA", at positions 44 to 334 of the family's 1533-position model. The record is from RNAcentral.